Molecule: long non-coding RNA, 5642 nt
Filed under: Setaria italica (foxtail millet)
Lineage: Eukaryota; Viridiplantae; Streptophyta; Magnoliopsida; Poales; Poaceae
Description: long non-coding RNA (SITA_LNC006952)
Source: RNAcentral
CGAGUUCCACUUUUCCCCAAAUUUUCGCCGGCAAAAUCCACCGCGGUUGGUGCAUCUCCGGCUGAUUCCUUGCAGCCACGGCACCUCCUCGACGUUGCGAUUCCAUUUUGCCACUUCCCGGGCUCCCUCCCUCACCAGACGACGCCCUCCAUGGGAGCUCCUCCGCCACCCCCUUCCUGUGCCGUUCCUCCUAUGCGCCGCCCAUCUCCAAGCGCCUGACUCUCUUCCGGUGAGCCUCCUGGCCCCGUGCGCCGCCCCUCUCCCUUCCCAAGCCACCCCUUCUCUUUCCCCCACCUUCGGCCCCAAGUCCAUGGCUGGCCGUGCCUGUUCCCGUGCGUGCGUGCCUGUGUUGUGUACUGUUGGUGCGUAGGGGGCUUCAUUGGAGAAGAAGAAGGAAGUGUAGGGGGUUAUGGGGAAGUUUCAGGAACUUUUGCGCGCAAUUAACCCGUAGACCUGGGGCUAGAUUGAAAGUUUAUCUCGAUUUUUCUUUAUUUCCUAGAUCUAAAAAGGCUGCAACUUUGGAAAUUCAUAGUAAAUUGUAGAAAAAUCGUAAAAGAGCAAAUGAGGACUUUUUGGAAUCCUUGUGAGAAGAAUUACACAAUAUAUUCAUAAUAUGAUAUGUGUUAGUAAAAGUUUCUGAUGUUUCUAUUUAUCCUUGCAAAGUGCUUUUAGAAAUCCUUUUGAGUUGGUUGGGUGCAUAGUUUGAGUUAUAGAGGUCCAAAGAUUGUGAUUCCAGUUGUGUUGAUCUUGUGAUGACACUCUAUAGCUAAUAAAAAUAUUGAACCUGCUAGUUGUGUACUGUUUUUAUCAUGUUUUGAUUUAAUCUUGAUAAAUAGGUAAUUUUUAGCUUGUUUUGCUUGUCAUUUUCAUAUCUAAAAUUGUGGUGCUCCAAUUGCUGUGAAAUUUUUAAGGUCGGCUAUAAAUGAUUUUCUUGUGCUAUGGUAAAACUUUCAUACUGAUUGGUGCAUGUAUGACUGAGUUAUUGAUUUAACUUGUUUAUUGCUUCAUAAAUGGUUUUAAAUAAGUUAUAACUUUUAUGUAGGUGUAAAACAAAAUAGGAAACGUGGUUCCAAUACAUUUGUAUGAUGUUGUUCUACCAUAAUAACAUAUAAUAUGGCUAUGUGCUGUAGAAAAUGAUGAUCUUUAGAUUUAUCUUGCUUUUACAUGUUUUCUUGCACUAGCAAUUUGUCUUUUUUGUAGAAAUUAAUUUAUACAACUUGAGCAUGUGAAAUUUUUGCAGUAGCCAUGUUGUAAUAGCACCUACCACUCACAAAAAUCUCAACCCCAAACUAGUUGUUAUCAUAUGGCACUAAAAAUAAUAUAUAUACAUGUCAUUCUAUAGAAGUUGAUGAAAGUUUGCUAAUAAAUGCAUAUACUUAAGUCAUGUGAAGCUUUUAAUAGUUAUUUUUGAGGGGUACAUAUGAUGCUAAGUUAUGAUAAAUAGUGAAUAUAACUCAUAGGUAUGCUCUCAUGUUAAUAUAACAGCCACUUAUAUAAGUUCUUCACCUUUGCUUUGAUUCUUGCUUAAGGUAUUUAGGGUGUUCCAUGUUACCUAAGGCUAAUGCUAAUUAACUAUGUCCAUAGUAGUUGUAAGUUAUGUGUUUAACUUAUGCAUAUGUUACCUUGUUAAAGAACUAAAUGAAGAACCUUGUUGUGUGUGUGCUGAAAUGGCUGCUAGAGCAGUUCUGUUGUAGUUAACUUCAUAAUAUAGCUUGUGUAAAAUUUUCAUGACCAUAAGCCUGAUGGUUUAGGAGCUAUAGAUUUUACAAGUUCAUUGUCGGGUUUCGCGUGCUUCAUGUAUAGGUUUGAAUGAUUGUGUUGUUUGACUUAGCUAAGAUUUGAAUCAUAUCUUGGAGAUAAUAUAAUAAAUGUAGGGUUUUUCAUGAGACUUUCAAAUUGUUAAAGAUCACCCCUUUUUGGUGGUUUAAAUCUCUAGUUAUGAGGUUGUGAAGUGGAAUGGCAGAAUCUGUCCUAAUCUGGACAGAGAUGUCUUCUUUGUGAUGUUUGACCUGGUUAACUUUGGUUUUAGCUUGUGGUGUUUGAAAUAAAGUUGUGCAUGGUUUGUUAAGCUUUCUAAAGAGUCUAGAACCACCUUGCUGUGAAAGCUAGAACUCAACUUAUGGCUGUCUAAGGUUUAAUGUCAGCAUCUUUCGAAGUUUGGACAGAUUUUCUUUUUUGUGUUGUGUAGUCUUGUUAAAUGUUGAAUCAUCUUUAGAUGACAAUAAUAAAGUUAUAGAUAACUUACUAAGGUUUCUACCAAGUUAAUAAUCAUGGUUGUUGGAGGUCUAGAACUCCAGAUAUGCAUCUGUGAAGUUCAUGUCAUUUUUCUGUCCUUGUUUGUACAGAUCUGCUAAUUGGUGUGUUUUCACCUUGUUAUUUGUUGAAUCAGCUUUUGGUGUGAGUAACAAAGUUUUAGAUAACUUCCUUAACUUUAUUUAAAGUCUAGGAUCACCCUUUUUGGAUCCUUAUAUCUCUAGUUAUGGUUAAAACGACUACUGUGCUGCUGUCUAGAUUCAGUGUAUGUGCUUAAAUUAUUAGCUUAAACUUGAUGUUGCCUUAUGUGCUGGUGUAACGACCGACCCCAAAACCUUCCCAGAUAGUCUUGAUCAGAGUCCUUGAUCCUAGUCAUCUACCUUGCUUUUUCCCGCGCCGAGUGCUCAGCUUUUCGCCCGGUCCCGACCCCUGAGAUCCGACCCCUCUCCGCUUCGCUUCUCUCCCGACCCCGGCAAGCACCGCCCACCGUCGGAUCCUGCUAAGCAUCCUCAAACGUCCGUUCUAUCCAACCGGUGGACCCGCAAGAUCUUUUUUCCAGAUCCUCCGCAACAGGCGCACUCGAGUUGCAUGCCCGCUUCAGAGCCUUCCUGCCGCGUGGCUCGUCUUCUACGACGCCCGCCGCUCAGUUUGGUCUCUGGCAAGCGACCGAGUGGGUUCUCGCGCCCCCUUCCCCAAUGGCAGCGGAAGCCCUCUGCACCCCUUUCUGCAGGGCCUCGCCUCCCGCGCCCAUCAUCACGCCGCCAGAUCCCGGCCCCAGAGCCCGAUGUCGCCCGUCUUUUUCGUCCCUUCAGCCACAGUCGCGCCGCCCGGUCGCCGCUACACGACGAUUCCUCCACCGCCAACCCCGACCGUGGCCGCGAGAGCUCCUUUCCCCCGCUCUGUCAGAAGCCGCCCGACAAUCUGUUGUUCCGCGCUCGCCCGCGCGCCCGCGUCCGCCUGUCUUCUCACCUGUGCGCCCUCGAUUCUAGCGCCGUUAAACCGGUUGCUUCUAUCAAAUCUUCCGCACGGCGACGCCCGCUUUCCGCCAAAUCUCAACCACCAGUCUACCCGCUCCUACGCCGCCCUGACGACAGAACGCAAUGAUCGCUGGCGUCACCCCCGGAGUUCUGCACCACCGCCCUCUACGCUCAAUCGCCGCCCCGGCAGAGCACUCCAUUGCUUCUCCCCGGCCUUCGCGCCGCUUCCCUUCUCUCUCUCCCGCGCCGCUUCCUUCCCUCUGUUCCAGCAGCUAUAAAAGGAAUGCCCCCGUCGCCGGAGUUCCCUCCGCCCUUGUUGCCUUAGCCAUUCUUUCGCUCUUUGCUCAAGCUCCUAGCGCCGCACACCUAGUUCCUGAGGAACUCUGCUCUCAGCUUUCCCCCUUAGUUGUUCUCCAAAGCUUGCUCCUCCGUGCUGCGUAAAAGCUCUCUUGUGAUCCGCAAGAAGCAGCGCCGCCGCCGGAGCAUUGCCGGUCUUAGCUUCUGUUCAAACCUUAGUCCCUCCGCCCAAGUCUGCCCCUUCCCGACCCCAAGCUUUCCUUUCAGGAAGAAGGUGAGUUGCCGACCCCAGUCCGCCUCGCCCGACCCCUCCUAUCCGCCCGACCCCGGUUCUGUCUCACCCGACCCUGUCUGUUCCGCCGACCCUUAUCCGCCUCGCCCGAGGGCUUGGCUGUGGUCUUUUUCUUCAACCCGAGGGUGUAUGUGUAAAACUUAGGAACCCUUCAGCGCUUGCGUCUGAGGAUCCCUAGUUUUUCCCACAUCCUCUAGUUCAAGAAUCAGAUCAUAAGUUCCUUUCCUACCCUUACCUCUUGAUCAUCAUCAGCUCUCUUGAACCACCAUAAACUCCUACUCUUUGUCGCAAGUUUCUGGGCUCAGGCGAGUCAGUGUUGCUGUUGAAAUAACUGUCUAAGCUAACCCUUGCAUUGCAUUCGUGUAGAGCUGCACCUCGCCGACGGCUUCUACGAGUUACACCCGGCGCCAGAAGAAGAAGCUGUAGCCGAGCUCCUGUCCUCCGAAGCCGAAGUCGCCUCCGAAGUCGAGCAGUUCCCGUCCUCCUUGCUUGAAGGCAAGCCCCGGUUGCAUAAAAAUCCUACGUGUUUUGCAAGACUUGCGCAUGCCUUCUGUAACAUGCUUGUGCAUUUACGUAUAGGAGUUUUGUGGAACCCUAGAUGCAUGACUUAGAUGUCCCAAUGAUCUGAGCACUAGCUGUUGGACCGAGUAGUUGCAUUGCUUAACUAGGAGACGGUAAAAGUCGAGUGAUUUCCUGUCACUCGCGAGUGGUAGGAGUUGCAUGUUUACUCUCCUGUUAUAACUAUAAGGAUGAUGGACGGGGCAGGGUUUUGGUAACUCUUUGGUGGUCGGAUGGUUGCCCCGUCUGUCUAUGAAAUCUUGCUAAGGCCCGACAGUGGUGGUGUUCGUGAUCAAGUGUUUGAAAGUACUAGCCUCAUACUUAGUAUGGGAUGAGGAAGCCUAGUACCUGAUUGAACCUAGACGUGAGCGGUCGCCCCAUUGUUCUUGGAACGAAGUUUCCCCUGCUGGUUGUCGCACGUGGUGGCAAGCGUGGUCACAGGACGGCAGAGGCCGGGUCUAUGGAACCUUGCACCAAAGGAAAUGGGCCCGACACGGGUUAGGGGAUUGAUGGGGAAGGCCGACACAGGAAGCGACCUCCGGGUGCGCGGAUGUCGUGAGGCUAGGUUCACCAUGCAUGGUUAAAGAACUCGAAUCGAUUCGUCUGCCUCUCACAGUUUGAGAUUGCUUGAUCGCUAUGUCACCCUGAGUAAAUGAGAAAUCUGAUGAUGACAUGUUUAUUGAUGUAUCUAUACCUCUUGUUUGGUUCUAUGAAUGCUUAGAAUAGGUGGCACAACCUAGACUGGUAAAUGAACUUAGAACUGGAGCUAAAACUUGAAAAUAGGGUUACUUAGUGCCUUUGGCAAAUAAACCCCUCAGCCAAACAGCCCUGCAUGUCUAGAGGGAGGAGUAGUUUUACUCCUAUCGGUUAAGUCUUGUUGAUCUUAGUAGCUCAGCCUUGUUGUGGCUCCUGUUUUUCAGGUGAAGUUGCUGCUUCCGACCCCUCUCUGGUUGGUGCUUGGCCGCCCCAGCUUCCGCCAGGCUGGACGGUCGAGUGGGAUCCUUCCGCAGACGGCGAGGAGAGGAACCAGUGAUAUCCCGGUUGGCCUCACCAGGGAUGUCCGACCCCGACGUAGUCUUCCGCUAGUGUUUUACCCUUGUUGUUUUUCCUUGAACCUUGCAAAAACUCUGAUGUUGGAUUUUAUGGCCGAACUAAAUGGGUAAAACUUGUUUAACUCAGUGGACUUGUUGUAUUCUCUGUAACCACUCACCUUCGUGUGGGUUUGCUAAACUCGAUCCUGUUUAAGUGGUUAAAUCGGAUGAAAU